AAGGAUCAUUAACAAAUCGAUUGCUGUCCACCCGAGAGGGGGGACACAUGAACCCGGUGCCGUGCAGUAAAAUGCCGGCUCGGUGCGGUGCGCAUGCCAGCAAUGGCUGUGCCCGCAAGGUUGGCCUCGCCAGUACUAGUUAUCUAGUUAUUGGCAGGCCGGCCACAUUGACACGCUUGUUUAGUUUGACUGUUUUUCUGUUGCAGAAAUAAAUGACAACUUUUAACAAUGGAUCUCUUGGCUCUU
Molecule: unclassified non-coding RNA, 246 nt
Filed under: uncultured fungus
Lineage: Eukaryota; Fungi
Description: partial contains 18S rRNA, ITS1, 5.8S rRNA, ITS2 and 28S rRNA
Source: RNAcentral